GUUGGUAUAGCUCAGUGGUAGAGCAUGCUUAGCAUGCAUUAGGUCCUGGGUUCAAUCCCUAGUACCUCCA
Molecule: transfer RNA, 70 nt
Filed under: Camelus bactrianus (Bactrian camel)
Lineage: Eukaryota; Metazoa; Chordata; Mammalia; Artiodactyla; Camelidae
Also listed under: 2 other names
Rfam family: tRNA
About the family: Transfer RNA (tRNA) molecules are approximately 80 nucleotides in length.
Source: Rfam by way of RNAcentral